RNAcentral lists this ribosomal RNA (450 nucleotides) under uncultured bacterium. Its description in RNAcentral is "partial 16S ribosomal RNA". It matches the Rfam family "Bacterial small subunit ribosomal RNA", at positions 354 to 796 of the family's 1533-position model. The record is from RNAcentral.
GUGGGGAAUUUUGGACAAUGGGCGCAAGCCUGAUCCAGCAAUGCCGCGUGCAGGAAGAAGGCCUUCGGGUUGUAAACUGCUUUUGUACGGAACGAAACGGUCCUGGUUAAUACCUGGGGCUAAUGACGGUACCGUAAGAAUAAGCACCGGCUAACUACGUGCCAGCAGCCGCGGUAAUACGUAGGGUGCAAGCGUUAAUCGGACUUACUGGGCGUAAAGCGUGCGCAGGCGGUUUUGUAAGACAGGCGUGAAAUCCCCGGGCUCAACCUGGGAAUUGCGCUUGGGACUGGAAGGCUGGAGUGCGGCAGAGGGGGAUGGAAUUCCGCGUGUAGCAGUGAAAUGCGUAGAUAUGCGGAGGAACACCGAUGGCGAAGGCAAUCCCCUGGGCCUGCACUGACGCUCAUGCACGAAAGCGUGGGGAGCAAACAGGAUUAGAAACCCCUGUAGUCC